UCUAGGUCAUUAUUACAGAGAUUUCAGUAAUAAUCCCCGAUUUCUGAAACCCACAUUUGAAGACAGCAGUGUAUUUCAGUGUUUGGUAGGGGAAUACUGUCAUUUACAUCUCUGGACAUCAAAGUUGUUGACACAAACCAGUUGUCCAGUUCUGAAAUCUGACGUAAGCUUUGACAGCGGUGUGUUCAUUAUUCCACCAUUAAAUCAAACUUUUUUCCCGUGCAUGUAUGAUGUUGUGCUUAGAAUGGA
This is a long non-coding RNA of Saccostrea echinata, 249 nucleotides long. RefSeq lists it as uncharacterized. The transcript is spliced from 3 exons. The record is from RefSeq and is a predicted model, not a curated record. Lineage: Eukaryota; Metazoa; Mollusca; Bivalvia; Ostreida; Ostreidae.